Molecule: non-coding RNA, 948 nt
Organism: Amphiprion ocellaris (clown anemonefish)
Lineage: Eukaryota; Metazoa; Chordata; Actinopteri; Pomacentridae
Source: Ensembl
UAAAGGCUUGGUCCUGACUUUACUGUCAGCUCUGGCUAAACUUACACAUGCAAGUAUCCGCACCCCUGUGAGAAUGCCCUCCAGUCUCCCGCCCGGAAACAAGGAGCCGGUAUCAGGCACGGUAGACACCUGCCCAUGACACCUUGCUUAGCCACACCCUCAAGGGACAUCAGCAGUGAUAGAUAUUAAGCCAUAAGUGAAAACUUGACUUAGUUAAGGCCUAGAGGGCCGGUAAAACUCGUGCCAGCCACCGCGGUUAUACGAGAGGCUCAAGUUGACAGACAACGGCGUAAAGAGUGGUUAGGGAAAUUUUAAACUAAAGCCAAACGUCCUCAAAGCUGUUUAACGCUCCCGAGUUAAGAAGAUCCAUUACGAAAGUAGCUUUACCCAUCCUGACCCCACGAAAGCUGUGACACAAACUGGGAUUAGAUACCCCACUAUGCUCAGCCCUAAAAUUUGAUAGGCCCCUACGCCCCCUAUCCGCCCGGGUACUACGAGCAUCAGCUUAAAACCCAAAGGACUUGGCGGUGCUUCACAUCCGUCUAGAGGAGCCUGUUCUAGAACCGAUAACCCCCGUUGAACCUCACCCUCCCUUGUUAAUACCGCCUAUAUACCGCCGUCGUCAGCCUACCCUGUGAAGGACUAGAAGUGAGCAAGAUUGGUAAGACCCAAAACGUCAGGUCGAGGUGUAGUGUAUGAGAGGGGAAGAAAUGGGCUACAUUUCCUAAAUCAGGAAACACGAACAAUGAACUGAAACAAGCAUUUGAAGGUGGAUUUAGCAGUAAGCAAGAAAACAGAGUGUUCUGCUGAAACAUGGCAAUAAAGCACGCACAUAUCGCCCGUCACUCUCCCCGAGCUAAUACGAAUAUAAUACCUAAAAAAUUACAUCUGCAAAGGGGAGGCAAGUCGUAACAUGGUAAGCGUACCGGAAGGUGCGCUUGGAACAAU